This 62-nucleotide transfer RNA is filed under the name Undinula vulgaris. RNAcentral's name for it is "tRNA-Arg". The record is from RNAcentral. Lineage: Eukaryota; Metazoa; Arthropoda; Copepoda; Calanoida; Calanidae.
UAUUAGAAAGCGAAUUAUUGCAUUUAGUUUCGGCCUAAACUUUGGGUUUAUCCCUCUAAUAU